RNAcentral lists this ribosomal RNA (143 nucleotides) under Involutiscutellula rubra. RNAcentral describes it as "partial 18S ribosomal RNA". It matches the Rfam family "Eukaryotic small subunit ribosomal RNA", at positions 1691 to 1831 of the family's 1831-position model. Lineage: Eukaryota; Fungi; Ascomycota; Sordariomycetes; Diaporthales; Tubakiaceae. The record is from RNAcentral.
GAAUGGUUCAGUGAGGCGUUCGGACUGGCCCAGGGAGGUCGGCAACGACCACCCAGGGCCGGAAAGUUCUCCAAACUCGAUCAUUUAGAGGAAGUAAAAGUCGUAACAAGGUCUCCGUUGGUGAACCAGCGGAGGGAUCAUUG